Molecule: long non-coding RNA, 1028 nt
Organism: Nestor notabilis (Kea)
Lineage: Eukaryota; Metazoa; Chordata; Aves; Psittaciformes; Psittacidae
Exons: 3
Source: RefSeq, a predicted model, not a curated record
UUUUUUACAUUUGGAUUGGAAAAAACUGUGAUAACAACUUCAUAAAAGAUGUCCUUGGAUACCCAAACUAUGCAUCAGUACCACAGAAAAUGACACAGCUUCCUGAAGUAGAUGCACUUUCUUCAGAAAGGACACGAUCUUUUAUAUCUUGGCUUAGGGACAGUAGACCUUUAAGUCCAGUUCUUCAUGUAAUAAAGGAUGAGAACCCUGCCAAAACAGAUUUUUUUCAGCAUUUAAUUGAGGAUCGGACAGAAGCAGCUUUCUCAUAUUAUGAAUUCUUACUUAAUAUUCAACAGCAGAUCUGUAAGUGAAAAAGGAACAAAAAGAAGAAAAAUCCUGACUUCAGAUAGAAGCAUGGGCCCAGAGAAGCAUAUGGGAAGUUACAAAAAGUGGAUGCUUGUUCUUCAAACAAUAUACAGUGACCAACACUGUUUUGGAAGCUUUACAGCUAAAGAAGUAUACAUUUCCAAAAGAAUUUUGCAGAUUUACUUCAGUCUAAAAGUGGUAGGAGUGAUGAAGCUGUUUGACUAGUAAACUUUAAAUUGGUUUGUACACGUUUCCAGUUGUGCAGCGGUAUGGUGCUCUGUUUAUUGCAAGCUGGUGAAUUUAUGUAGCUAUGUGGGAUAUUUCUUAACAAAAUGUACAAUUAGGUAAAGCCUUUUUUCUUACAUUUAUUAUAGUAGCCCUGCCAGAUCCAAAUUCUUAACAGAGAUGUCAAAGGGCAGUGAUGUAUGUUGGUUGUUUAUAUGAAUUUCUUUUUAAAAGGAAUGAUUAAUACUUACUAAAGACUUCAGCAAAUUCCCUCCGAAAGUUGUAGAGUUUCAGUAAAGUACAUCAGUUGUAGAAAUAAAAUAUAUAAUGUACAUAAGUAUUACAUUUGUAAAGAAAAUGUAAAAAAUGUAACUAAAAAAAAAAAGACUUAGCUCAGUGUGCAGACGUGUUGAGUGCUCAACGAUGAAUUGUUCCGUCCCAGGCUAGACAAUGAAGUUGACUAUUAAAACAUGCUAAAAAAAGUAUCCAUGUAGAAG